CGAAAGCCUGAUCCAGCAACGCCGCGUGAGGGAUGACGGCCUUCGGGUUGUAAACCUCUUUCAGCAGGGACGAAGCGCAAGUGACGGUACCUGCAGAAGAAGCACCGGCCAACUACGUGCCAGCAGCCGCGGUAAUACGUAGGGUGCGAGCGUUGUCCGGAAUUAUUGGGCGUAAAGGGCUCGUAGGCGGUUUGUCGCGUCAGGAGUGAAAACUCGGGGCUUAACCCCGAGCCUGCUUCUGAUACGGGCAGACUAGAGGUAUGCAGGGGAGAACGGAGUUCCUGGUGUAGCGGUGAAAUGCGCAGAUAUCAGGAGGAACACCGGUGGCGAAGGCGGUUCUCUGGGCAUUACCUGACGCUGAGGAGCGAAAGUGUGGGGAGCGAACAGGAUUAGAUACCCUGGUAGUCCACACCGUAAACGUUGGGCGCUAGGUGUGGGACUCAUUCCACGAGUUCCGUGCCGCAGCUAACGCAUUAAGCGCCCCGCCUGGGGAGUACGGCCGCAAAGCUA
RNAcentral lists this ribosomal RNA (510 nucleotides) under uncultured Actinomycetes bacterium. RNAcentral describes it as "bacterial SSU rRNA". It matches the Rfam family "Bacterial small subunit ribosomal RNA", at positions 376 to 896 of the family's 1533-position model. Lineage: Bacteria; Bacillati; Actinomycetota; Actinomycetes. The record is from RNAcentral.